GACGAACGCUGGCGGCGUGCUUAACACAUGCAAGUCGAACGAAGAGCGAUGGAAGCUUGCUUUUAUCAAUUUUAGUGGCGCACGUGUGAGUAACGCGUAAUCAACCUGCCCUUCAGAGGGGGACAACAGUUGGAAACGACUUCUAAUACCGCAUACGAUCUAAUCUCGGCAUCGAGGAUAGAUGAAAGGUGGUCUCUACACGUAUGCUAUCAUUCAAGGAGGGGAAUGCGGCUGGUUAGCUAGUUGGUGGGGUAACGGCCGAUCAAAGGGAAGAUCAGUAGCCGGUCUGGAAGGAGGGACGGCCACAUUGGGACUGAGACACGGCCCAGACUCCUACGGGAGGCAGCAGUGGGGAAUCUUUCGCAAUGGAGGAAAGGCUGACGGGGGAACGCCGCGUUGGUGAGGACGGCCUUCGGGUUGUAAAGCUCUGUUAAUCGGGACGAAAGGACUUCUUGCGAAUAGAGGGAAGGAUUGACGGUACCGGAAUAGAAAGCCACGGCUAACUACGUG
This 510-nucleotide ribosomal RNA is filed under the name uncultured bacterium. RNAcentral's name for it is "partial 16S ribosomal RNA". It matches the Rfam family "Bacterial small subunit ribosomal RNA", at positions 28 to 507 of the family's 1533-position model. The record is from RNAcentral.